RNAcentral lists this long non-coding RNA (565 nucleotides) under Sus scrofa (pig). Its description in RNAcentral is "lncRNA (ENSSSCG00035056715.1)". The record is from RNAcentral. Lineage: Eukaryota; Metazoa; Chordata; Mammalia; Artiodactyla; Suidae.
AGCUAGAUAGGGUUUUCCAUGAGGAAAUUUUCCAAAUGCAUUACCUGCCUUCACUAUUUAUUUCUCUCUUUGUAUCUCUCUUGUCCUUGAUUUUUCUGUCAGUUAAGUUGCUUCUCUUCUCAUAUAGACAGAGAGGAUGGAAGUGUUCUUCCCACACUACUCCUUGUUGGACAGUGGAGUGGAAAUCAUCUGCCAUCCAUGGAGACACCAGGAGUUUGGUGCCAGUGCUAUUGUGUGAGACAGGUUAAUCUUGCUGUGCUGCAAAAGAAAGUCAUAUUCCUUGGGAUUCUUUGCUGUAAUUUUUUGCUGUCCACACUCCUAUGCUUUGGAGGACUAAAUAUUUCCACCAAUCUCAACAGACUUCCCCCUCCCCCGGUAAUGUAUAACUAUGAACAAAAUAUACCUUUGCCAAAGUCAUAGAUUUUCUAAUGUUUCUCCUUUGGAAGAAGUAGGUACUUAAAAUGGGCAUUUAAAAUAACCUCUGUUUUCAUGGUAUGAAGGAAAGUGAUUGCACAGUGUACUUAUUUUGAUGCAUUUAAAAAUGUGUACCUACUGUAUUAUACAC